GUGUUCGCUUCGGCAGCACAUAUACUAAAAUUGGAACGAUACAGAGAAGAUUAGCAUGGCCCCUGUGCAAGGAUGACGCACAAAUUCAUGAAGCGUUCCAUAUUUUU
Small nuclear RNA from Dipodomys ordii (Ord's kangaroo rat), 107 nucleotides. Lineage: Eukaryota; Metazoa; Chordata; Mammalia; Rodentia; Heteromyidae. The record is from Ensembl.